This 465-nucleotide ribosomal RNA is filed under the name uncultured bacterium. Its description in RNAcentral is "partial 16S ribosomal RNA". It matches the Rfam family "Bacterial small subunit ribosomal RNA", at positions 28 to 507 of the family's 1533-position model. The record is from RNAcentral.
GACGAACGCUGGCGGCGUGCUUAACACAUGCAAGUCGAACGGAAAGGCCCUGCUUGCUGGGUACUCGAGUGUCGAACGGGUGAGUAACCCGUGGGUGAUCUGCCCUGCACUUCGUGAUAAGCCUGGGAAACUGGGUCUAAUACCGGAUAGGAGCCAUUUUUAGUGUGAUGGUUGGAAAGUUUUUUCGGUGUAGGAUGAGCUCGCGGCCUAUCAGCUUGUUGGUGGGGUAAUGGCCUACCAAGGCGGCGACGGGUAGCCGGCCUGAGAGGGUGGACGGCCACAUUGGGACUGAGAUACGGCCCAGACUCCUACGGGAGGCAGCAGUGGGGAAUAUUGCACAAUGGGCGCAAGCCUGAUGCAGCGACGCCGCGUGGGGGAUGACGGCCUUCGGGUUGUAAACUCCUUUCGCUAGGGACGAAGCUUUUUGUGACGGUACCUAGAUAAGAAGCACCGGCUAACUACGUG